AACUCCGAUUGCGAAGGCAGCGUACCGGCGCCACACUGACGCUGAGGCACGAAAGCGUGGGGAUCGAACAGGAUUAGAUACCCUGGUAGUCCACGCAGUAAACGAUGAAUGCUGGUUGUCCGGGUCGAAUGAGACCUGGGCGGCGAAGCGAAAGCGAUAAGCAUUCCACCUGGGGAGUACGCCGGCAACGGUGAAACUCAAAGGAAUUGACGGGGGCCCGCACAAGCGGAGGAACAUGUGGUUUAAUUCGAUGAUACGCGAGGAACCUUACCCGGGCUCAAACGGGAGCGGAAUGGACCAGAGACGGUUCAGCCUACGGGCCGCUUCCGAGGUGCUGCAUGGUUGUCGUCAGCUCGUGCCGUGAGGUGUCGGCUUAAGUGCCAUAACGAGCGCAACCCCCGCCGGCAGUUGCUAACGGGCAAUGCCGAGGACUCUGCCGGGACUGCCGCCGCAAGGCGAGAGGAAGGCGGGGAUGACGUCAAAUCAGCACGGCCCUUGCGUCCGGGGCGACACACGUGUUACAAUGGGCGGUACAGCGGGAAGCCAGGCGGCGACGCCGAGCGGAACCCGAAAGCCGUUCUCAGUUCGGAUCGGAGUCUGCAACCCGACUCCGUGAAGCUGGAUUCGCUAGUAAUCGCGCAUCAGCCAUGGCGCGGUGAAUACGUUCCCGGGCCUUGUACACACCGCCCGUCAAGCCAUGGGAGCCGGGGGUGCUUGAAGUGCGUCGCCGCGAGGCGCGCCCUAGAGCAAAACCGGUGACUGGGGCUAAGUCGUAACAAGGUAACCGUAA
This 790-nucleotide ribosomal RNA is filed under the name uncultured bacterium. RNAcentral describes it as "bacterial SSU rRNA". It matches the Rfam family "Bacterial small subunit ribosomal RNA", at positions 705 to 1505 of the family's 1533-position model. The record is from RNAcentral.